Non-coding RNA from Pteropus alecto (black flying fox), 47 nucleotides. Lineage: Eukaryota; Metazoa; Chordata; Mammalia; Chiroptera; Pteropodidae. The record is from Rfam.
CCAAAGGCUCUUUUCAGAGCCACCCACCUCUCCCGUAAGAGAGCUGU